Molecule: ribosomal RNA, 489 nt
Filed under: Aoraki longitarsa
Lineage: Eukaryota; Metazoa; Arthropoda; Arachnida; Opiliones; Pettalidae
Description: partial 16S large subunit ribosomal RNA
Source: RNAcentral
UUCUUUUUGGGAGUAUAAAAAGUAAUUUCUGCUCAUGAUAUAUAAUUAAAUAGCUGCAUUUUGUACUAAGGUAGCAUAAUAAAUUGUUCAUUAAUUGUGAACUGGAAUGAAGGAAAAAAUGGUUUAAAACUGUCUUAAAUUUAUAAAUUGAAUUUAAACUUUUUGUAAAAAUGCAAAAAUAUAUUUUAGGGACAAGAAGACCCUAUAAAGCUUGUUUGGUUUUAAUUAUAGAUAUAUGUAUAUAUAUUGAAUCAAUUUGAUUGGGGCAAUAAUUUAUGAAUGAUUAAUAUAAAUUUAAAUUUAAUGCUAAUACAUAUUAGAAUGAUCCAUUAUUAAUGAAAAAUGAUUAAGUUACUUUAGGGAUAACAGGAUAAUUUUUAUUAGAAAGUUCUUAUUAAUAAUAAAGUUUAUUACCUCGAUGUUGAAUUAAUUUAAUUUAAUGGUGAAGCAACUGUUUGAGUUUGACUGUUCGUCAAUUAAAUAAUUACA